AUGUUCUGGCCGCUGUGUGACAUUACCUUCUCAUGGCCCUGGCCCUGCCCGCCUAGGCCUAGGCGUGAACCACUUUCUGCAGCAGGAGGCUUGCGGCUCCCCUUCCCAGCCGUCGGGGAUCCUGGUCGAAGCCCGGGGAAACCAGAGCAACGCGCUGGUGCGGCUGCCAAGGCCCAGCGCACCGGGGCGCGCGGGGGUGGAGGGCUCUUGCCCCUCCCAGGUCUUCUUCGCCCAUCCUUCGUCUCUCAGCCUCGAGCCUGGCUGGGUCCGCCAGGCGCGGGGCCAGAGUUUGGGGAGAUCACACCACCCCGUAAAGCCCACUCUGCUUCCUUGAGGUCAGAGGAGGGAGGUUGGACAGAAGGAAGAGCUGGAAGUGGGGAAUCUGGGCGGGGGUGGGGUGCGGUGCUCACAGCCGGUGAAGGGGCGGGACUGCGAGGACAGAUCCUCGGCCGACCUCCCGGGAGCAGGCGGCCGGCUCCUGGAGCCACUGACAGCCCCUUUCGUCCUCUCUGCUCCGCGCCCUCUCCAGCCCCCUUCGCUCUGGCUCAGCUCAGCCACGGCUCCAGCUCCCCAAGCCCCGCCCGGCUUCCCGCAGCAACAGUUGCGGGGCUCCUAGCCCCGACUCCUGCGUCCGCGCACCGCCCCCUCCCCAGCGGUGCCGCGGCGCCUGGCGAAAAGGGGGGCCCGGAGGGCUCGGCGACCCGGGAGACGAACGUCUUGGGCGCCUCGCCCGCGUCCUUCCCUCGCGUCCGCCGCGCGCGCCUGGCACCCCGGCCUCUCUCCCACACCUCGUCCCCGCCCGCCUGGGUCUUAAUCCCCAGGCCGGGCGCCCCAGGUUCCCGACCCCCAGCUCCACCCCCCUCGGGCUCCGAGCGUCCUCCAGACUCUCCCCGGUGCCCCGCGUCUGUCCCCGCCGUCCUUGCCCGUGAGGCGCCGGAGCCCAGCCCCAAGUUGGCGGCGAAGUUGGCGCCCCCCGCUCGCCGCCCGCCACUCACCGGGGGGAAGGGGCGCUGCGCCCGCGCCCAGAGCCCGCGCCGGCCGCCUCCCGCGCGGUACGAGUCCCGGCGACUCGGCUCCGCGCGCGGCGCGCUCUGUCCUAGCUUGGCGGGCGCCUGGGCAGGGGCGCCUGCGGGGCCGGAG
Molecule: long non-coding RNA, 1140 nt
Filed under: Bos indicus x Bos taurus (hybrid cattle)
Lineage: Eukaryota; Metazoa; Chordata; Mammalia; Artiodactyla; Bovidae
Description: lncRNA (ENSBIXG00005030760.1)
Source: RNAcentral